GACGAACGCUGGCGGCGUGCUUAACACAUGCAAGUCGAACGGUGAAGCUCCAGCUUGCUGGAGUGGAUCAGUGGCGAACGGGUGAGUAACACGUGAGCAACCUGCCCCUGACUCUGGAAUAAGCGCUGGAAACGGCGUCUAAUACUGGAUACGAGAAGGGUCCGCAUGGGCACUUUCUGGAAGGUUUUUCGGUUGGGGAUGGGCUCGCGGCCUAUCAGCUUGUUGGUGAGGUAAUGGCUCACCAAGGCGACGACGGGUAGCCGGCCUGAGAGGGCGACCGGCCACGCUGGGACUGAGACACGGCCCAGACUCCUACGGGAGGCAGCAGUGGGGAAUAUUGCACAAUGGGCGAAAGCCUGAUGCAGCGACGCCGCGUGAGGGAUGACGGCCUUCGGGUUGUAAACCUCUUUCAGCAGGGAAGAAGCGAAAGUGACGGUACCUGCAGAAGAAGCACCGGCUAACUACGUG
Molecule: ribosomal RNA, 468 nt
Filed under: uncultured bacterium
Lineage: Bacteria
Description: partial 16S ribosomal RNA
Rfam family: Bacterial small subunit ribosomal RNA
Source: RNAcentral